RNAcentral lists this long non-coding RNA (903 nucleotides) under Ornithorhynchus anatinus (platypus). RNAcentral describes it as "lncRNA (ENSOANG00000042503.1)". The record is from RNAcentral. Lineage: Eukaryota; Metazoa; Chordata; Mammalia; Monotremata; Ornithorhynchidae.
UUCCCGGGGAGGCCCUGGCCCCCGAGGAGACCCUCCCGGUCCACCCCGGAUCAGACUCGCGGGCUCUGGCCCAAGGGAAUGGGACGACGGGACUCUUUCUGGGCUGAGUGCGGGCGGGGGUGGGGAGGGGGACGACGCUGACGAGGUGCAGGGCUGAGCCGGAAAGGGAAAUGGAGGGAGUAGUGGAGCUGGGGAGCUCACUGGGGCCUUUCACUUUCCCUCCCAGGCCAGAAACCCGGUGGGGCGUGCCGGGCCUUCCCCGGCCAUCUCGGGCGAGCUGGAGACUGCUGCCCGCCCCUUGGCGGGUCUACCCCGUGCUUGACAGAGCCCAGAGGAGCUGAGAUGAGGAAAGGGGCCCAAAGAACGGACUAGGUCACGACGGACCACUCGCCCGCCAUUCCACUGGACACGCCCCGCUCGAGUUCUCCACGGCCACGAGGCUGUUGACUUUGCAGCAUGGAUACCGACUGGCUGGCUCCCUGGGCUUCUCCAGAGACUGAGUUAAGAUCACUCCCUCAACCCCAAUGCAACAAUGCCUAUUUCUUGAGGUGAAAUAUUGUGUCGCCAGAGCCCAUCUGCUGCCUCCUCCAGAAAGCGAUGGGUUUGUUGGAGAUACGUAUUUGCAUCGUGGGGUUGACUUUGAGGUGUGAGGGUGAUGUUCAUUCAUUGCAGCGUAUUUAUUGAGCACUUACUGUGUUCAGAGCACUAUACUGAGGGCUUGGGAGAGUAGAGUAUCCUAAUAAACAGACCCAUUUCAUGCCCACAGUGAGCUUACAGUUUAGUGGGGGAGACAGACAUUGAUAUAAGUGGGGAUCAGAGGGGGGACAAAGAAAGGGAGCAAGUCAGGGUGCCAAGUAGGUGCUAGAGCUGGGGGAGCUCCUCUUACGCAGCCCAGAGGCCGGU